RNAcentral lists this ribosomal RNA (395 nucleotides) under uncultured bacterium. RNAcentral describes it as "bacterial SSU rRNA". It matches the Rfam family "Bacterial small subunit ribosomal RNA", at positions 505 to 898 of the family's 1533-position model. The record is from RNAcentral.
GUGCCAGCAGCCGCGGUAAUACAGAGGUCCCAAGCGUUGUUCGGAUUCAUUGGGCGUAAAGGGUGCGUAGGCGGCAGGGUAAGUUGGAUGUGAAAUCCUGGGGCUUAACCUCAGAAUUGCAUUCAAUACUGCCUUGCUAGAGAGCUGUAGAGGAGACUGGAAUUUACGGUGUAGCAGUGAAAUGCGUAGAUAUCGUAAGGAACGCCAGUGGCGAAAGCGAGUCUCUGGGCAGCAUCUGACGCUGAGGCACGAAGGCCAGGGGAGCAAACGGGAUUAGAUACCCCGGUAGUCCUGGCAGUAAACGGUGCGCGUUUGGUGUGGGUGGGUUCGACCCCAUCCGCGCCGUAGUUAACACGUUAAACGCGCCGCCUGGGAAGUACGAUCGCAAGAUUAAA